AGUGAACGCUGGCGGUAGGCCUAACACAUGCAAGUCGAACGGCAGCACAGUAAGAGCUUGCUCUUACGGGUGGCGAGUGGCGGACGGGUGGGGAAUAGAUCGGAAUCUACUUUUUCGUGGGGGAUAACGUAGGGAAACUUACGCUAAUACCGCAUACGACCUACGGGUGAAAGCAGGGGAUCUUCGGACCUUGCGCGAUUGAAUGAGCCGAUGUCGGAUUAGCUAGUUGGCGGGGUAAAGGCGCACCAAGGCGACGAUCCGUAGCUGGUCUGAUAGGAUGAUCAGCCACACUGGAACUGAGACACGGUCCAGACUCCUACGGUAGGCAGCAGUAGGGAAUAUUGGACAAUGGGCGCAAGCCUGAUCCAGCCAUACCGCGUGGGUGAAGAAGGCCUUCGGGUUGGAAAGCCCUUUUGUUGGGAAAGAAAAGCAGCAGGUUAAUACCCCGCUGUUCUGACGGUACCCAAAGAAUAAGCACCGGCUAACUUCGUG
This 492-nucleotide ribosomal RNA is filed under the name uncultured bacterium. RNAcentral's name for it is "partial 16S ribosomal RNA". It matches the Rfam family "Bacterial small subunit ribosomal RNA", at positions 29 to 507 of the family's 1533-position model. The record is from RNAcentral.